RNAcentral lists this ribosomal RNA (256 nucleotides) under uncultured bacterium. Its description in RNAcentral is "partial 16S ribosomal RNA". It matches the Rfam family "Bacterial small subunit ribosomal RNA", at positions 524 to 777 of the family's 1533-position model. The record is from RNAcentral.
GACGUAGGGUGCGAGCGUUGUCCGGAUUAUUGGGCGUAAAGAGCUCGUAGGCGGCUUGUCGCGUCGACCGUGAAAACUUGGGGCUCAACCCCAAGCCUGCGGUCGAUACGGGCAGGCUCGAGUUCGGUAGGGGAGACUGGGAAUUCCUGGUGGUAGCGGUGAAAUGCGCAGAGUAUCAGGAGGAACACCGGUGGCGAAGGCGGGUCUCUGGGCCGAAACUGACGCUGAGGAGCGAAAGCGUGGGGAGCGAACAGGG